This 27561-nucleotide long non-coding RNA is filed under the name Gossypium barbadense (sea-island cotton). Its description in RNAcentral is "long non-coding RNA (GBAR_LNC017243)". The record is from RNAcentral. Lineage: Eukaryota; Viridiplantae; Streptophyta; Magnoliopsida; Malvales; Malvaceae.
UUUUCUUGGGCUUAUCGCAGUUUUUCUCAUUGAAGUCGAGAUUCCUUCUCUCUGAGUUUUUUGGAUCCAAUCCCGAUUGAAGAGAGUUUUAAAUUUAUCUGUCAUGGUCAAAUGUGUCAAAAACAAAUGAUGCAAGCUCACCAAAGAAGGUUCGCCCUAGAGAAUUUCAUGAGGGGGACUUGGUAUUGAAGAAGAUCUUCCCCAUACAAAAGGACUUCAAAAGGAAGCGGACGCCAAAUCGGGAAGGGCUUUAUGUGAAAGACCCUAUCUGGAAAAGUGUUAAUUUUGACCGUAAUAUAUUUCAAAAAAUAUAUUUCAAAAAAGAAAAAGGAAAAGAAAAAAAAAGAACCCCAAUUAGUAUUCUUUUUAUGUUAUCCAGAAGACUCUUUUUAUAUAAUUUACAUAAUCUCCAUUACCAAUCCUUUAUGUAUUUUGGUGUUCCUAACCAUCCACUCUUUUUUGUUCAAUCCCCCGUUUGUUUAGCAAUACAUGUAUGGGAAUCCAUACAAAGGAUAGCGAAAACUCUAUACGGUUGAUCUUUUGAGCCCGCUUCAAGCUAGAUUGACUAAUCAACCUGUCUUGGGGUAAAGAUUUCUUCCGAAGGCGAAAACCCGCAAAGGGCGCCUUGAGACCAAGAAGGAUUUGAGUUAAAAACCCGAAAAGGACGGCUCAAAUUUUGGAUCAAAAUGGGGCAUGAGGUGAUGGAGCAGCUUAAAUUUUGAUCAAAUUAGGGCAUGAGGUGAUCUUGUUAUACCUGAAUCAACAAGAAAGGGUAGGCGACAUCUUGGGGGAUAGACAAAGUCUUGUAGAUCUCCUAAACACAUGUCAAACUCAAAAUGGUCUUUCAAAGAGUUUGUACAGAGAAGUUCAAGCUGUGAUAUCUGGGGCACCUAAUCUUUAUACUAUUUAUAUUGAAUUUGUUGUCUUUGAAAACUUCAUUCUUUUUCAAGAUACGUGUUCCCAAUCAAUUCCUCUUUUAUCUUUAUUAUCCUUGAUAAUUUAUUCAUUUUGAGCUAUGCUCCCAAAUCAAUUUUAUUUUUAUCCAUUGUUAUGAUCUUUUACAAGCAUGUUGCAUUGGAAUAAUGAUUAAUGGACUAAUAAUACUUUCACAAGGGAAGUUUUGCAUAUUACUCUAGAAGUUUCUAAAUAAUAUAGGAACCUGAAACAUGACUAUCAUUUAGAACACAUCAAGUUUAAAGGUUGAAAUAUCUAAAAAGGAAAAGUCUAAGUUAAGACUAUCCUUUCGGAUUUCGUUGUCCAAACUUUGAUUGAACAAAAAUUACAGGAUGUCGUGUUGGUGACAAAGCUUCAAUGAACAAGAAAGCAAUGAUCACCAAGUGAUAAGAAGAGGUUUCUCAGAAGAGAAAGUUAUACAAUUGUGUAUAAACAUUUGGUAUGACACCUUGGGAAUGAUGUAAGGCCAAAGAGAUUCAGAUCCUGUAUCCUUGAUUUGUGAUAGCAGAGGAUUGAGAAAAGGCCAAAUCUUUCUACCCUUGGGUUACAACAGGAGAAAGAUGGUACAAGUUUUGCAUCUAGUGGAUUGAACUCGAAAGUUUACAGUGGGGGCAAUCUGACUAAGUGUUUCUUCAGAAAAGCCAGCCGAGCAAGAAGGCGUUGUAGCAUGUCAGUGAUAAAGCCUUAAUAAAUUUCGAGUAAUGACAACUUAAGGAUCAUUCUAAAAAAAAAGACAUUCUGCGUUCAUGCAAACAUCAUUCAUACAUACCUAGUUAGGAACAUUUGACUCAUUCUGAUCAUGAUAUCCUAAUCACUAGGCAUAAUUAGGUUCAUUAAAUGGAUUCUAUAGGUCAUGUUCCCUAGAGAGCAGAUUAGUGAAACCAUAAAUCCUAUACCCUUGAGGUUGCAGUGGGAUGGAUUGAAGUAGAUCAUAGCAAAUCUUAUCUCCCUAAAGUUAAAGUAGAGCAGUUUAAAGCCAAUAAUUCUAUCUCCCUAAAGUGGCAGUGGAGUGGAUUGAAGACACGAAUCUUAUGUCCCUGGCGUAGCAGCGGAGUAGAUUAAAGCUGAGGGCAGCGAAUCUUAUCUCUCUAGCGUUAAGGCUUGGAAUAGCUGAAGUGGAGCGGAUUAAAGCUGUGGGCAGCGAAUCCUAUCUCUUUGGCAUUACAAUUAAAUAGAUUAAAGCUACAACAGCGAAUCUUACUUCCGUGGCGGUGCAGUGGAACAGAUUGAAGCUACAACGGCGAAUAUUGCUUCCCUGACAUUGCAGUUAAACAGUUUGAAGCUAUAACAGUGAAUCUUACUUCCCUGGCAGUGCAGUGGAACAGAUUGAAGCUACAACGGCGAAUCUUGCUUCCCCGACAUUGCAGUUAAAUAGAUUGAAGCUACGACAGCGAAUGUUACUUCCUUCGCGGUGAAGUGGAACAGAUUGAAGCUACAACGGCAAAUCUUGCAUCCCCGACAUUGCAGUUAAAUAGAUUGAAGCUAUGACAGCGAAUCUUACUUCCCUGGCAGUGCAGUGGAACAAAUUGAAGCUACAACGGUGAAUCUUACUUCCGCGACAUUGCAGUUAAACAGAUUGAAGCUACGAUAGCAAAUCUUACUUCCCUAGCGGUGCAGUGGAACAGAUUGAAGCUACAACGGCCAAUUUUGUUUCCCCGACAUUGCAGUUAAACAGAUUGAAGCUACGACAGCGAAUCUUACUUCCCUGACAGUACAAUGGAACAGAUUGAAGCUACAAUGGCGAAUCUUGCUUCCCGACAUUGUAGUUAAAUAGAUUGAAAAUAACGAAUCUUAUUUCCCUGAAGUUGCAGUGGAACAGAUUGAAGCUAUAAAUUACAUAUCUUAUCUCUCUAAAAUUGCAGUAGAGCAGAUCAUAUCAAACCUUAUCUCCCUUAAGUUGCAGUGGAGCAGGUUAAACCAAUCUUAUCUCUCUGAAGUUGCUGCGAAGAAGAUUGAAGCUACAGGUCAUAUCUCUCUGAAGUGCAGUAGAGUGCAUUGAAGCAACGAGACAUAGUGGAGUAGAUUAAAACCAUGAAUCUCGUCCCCUUGAAGUUGCUGCGAAGAAGAUUGAAGCUACAACUCAUAUCUUUCUGAAGUACAGUAGAGUGGAUCGAAGAAAUGAGACACAGUGGACUGGAAGGAGGCUAUUUGAAGAAAAUGAGCACUAGAAUAAGUCAAGACUCGGCGAGACCGAGCAAAAUUGGUCUUUCUUAGUCUUUACUCUGUUCUCAUUACACGACAACGAGUAAAGAGGUGCAGCUGUACAGCCCAAAUUUUGCCCAGGGCCCAAAACCCAAAACCCAACCAACCCAAACACAAAUAACAAACCCAACCACCUAGACCUAACCCAAUAGCCCAAUUAAAACCCGAGCCCAAUUACAAUGCUUGGCCCAACAGUCCUAGCCCAAAACAUAUUUUUAGAAAAAACGUAACCCUAACCCUAGGUGCGCCGCACCUAGGGUCGCCCACUUGCCCUGCCACCACUGCCUCUGCUGCCGCGCCACCAACUCUGCCACCUGCUCCAUCAACGUCAAAUACCUGCAAACAAACAGCAAAAGAAACAGACCACAAAACAGUAACAAUAUGAGGGGAUUUUUUUCUUUUCUUUCGGCUAUAAAGCCGAAUAUGUUGUAAAAGUUUGGGGGAUUUUUUUUAUUCUUGUUUUUCAAAAAAAAAAGAUUGAGAAAUAAAAACAACAAAAAAAAUUCAAAGGUUACAUUGAGAAACUCUACUCUAUUUUCGUUUUGUUCUUUUAUUUUUAUUUUUAUUUUUUUUGAAAUAAAUAUAAAAAUAAAAAAAGGAGAGGCCUUUUUACCUUUUUUGCCAUCGUCGGAGUGUGGGAGACCAAUGAUCUACAUCGGAGGAAAAAAAGAAAUUUUUUUGGACUCCCCGCCGCCGUGCACAGCGGUGCCAGCGAUCGGCGGCCGACGCAACGGUCGUUGGCCGGAUUUUGGGCCGAUUUGCGGAGAGGGGGAGAGGAGUUGGGAGUGUUUUUUUGAGAUUUUUUUAAAAAGAAGGGAAAAAAUAAAAUUUUUUGAAAAAUUUUGGUUUAAAUAGGGAAGCAAAACGACGUCAUUUUACUCUGCCCUUUAAAACGCCAAAAUGGCGUCGUUUUGAGCUACUUGAUCCAGCCGAUCCGACCCGCCUGGAGGAUCUGCGUGUUUUCGACGGAAGGGCUAAUUGCACUUUUAGCCCUUCCACUUUUUUAAUGUUUUUCAAUCAAGGGUUUUUUUAUUUUUCAAUUUUACCCUGUGUUUUUUUAUGAAUUCAGUUUGGCCCACACUUGAAUGACGACGUUUUGGAGGGUGGGGAUUAUUGCCCAUUUGGUCCCUCCUUGUCAUUUGCGCUUCCUAUUGGGUCCUCCCUUUUUAUUUAUUUUCAGAUUUGACCCCGAAUUUUGUUUUAAAAUUCAAUUUAGCCCUUUUGUUUUUGUUAUUUUGGUUAUUUUAUUAUUAAAACUAAUAAAUUAUUAUUGUUAUUAUUAUUAUUAAUAUUAUUUUUAUUAUCAUCAUAUUUUUGUUUAUACUUACUAUGUAAAUUUUAAAUAUAUUAUUAUAUUAUUAUUAUAUAAUUGCUUCUAUAUAUAUAGACACACAUAUAUACAUAUUUAAUAUUUACAUACAUAUACACGCUUAUAUUUUUUUAUAUAUUUUAUAAUUUAUAUACAUGUAUGUAUUUAUAUGCGCAUUUUAAAUUUAUAUAUAUACUUAUACAUACUCUUUAUAUUUUAAAAUCUAUAUUUUUCUUAUUUAUUUUCUAUAGUUUAUAAUUCAUGUGUACAUAUAUUUUUAUAUAUUUUCUAAUGCAUACAUGCACAUAAUAUAUAUAUAUCUACAUACGUUUUUUAAUUUUUAUAAAUAUACAUAUAUACCUACCUUUAUUUUUUUUUUCAUAUCUUUAUAUACAUAUAUACAUACAUACUUACAUAUAUUUUUAUGUACAUAGAUUUUUUCAUAUUUUCAUAAUUUUAUGCACACAUACAUAUAUAUAUAUAUAUAUCUUUUUACAUUUUUAUAAUUUUAUUCAUUUUAUUUAUUUAUUUAUUUUCGUUAUUAUUUUAAAAGAAUGCUUUGACUUUAUUUGCUUAUAUAUUUGUUUUGUAUGUUAUGGAUUUGUACUUUUUAUUUAUCUUAUUUUUGUUGUUGUUGCUCGUGUUAUCUUUACACCAUCGUAUUCAUUAUUGUUUUGCUAUGUAUAUCAACAAUGUCAUUCGUUUUUGCAUUCUUUUUAUCACGACAUCGUGUUUCAUUUUACUCAGUAUGUCAAAAUUUAUUCUAAAUAAAUAACAUUUCGUAUGUUUAGAUUCGAGAAGGUUGUACCCUAACUUACUGGGUUUCGAUUUUCACAAUAAAUCUAAAUACACGGAUCUUUUCAAACUCAAGUUUUAAAUGAUCUCGGGAAUUAAGAAAAGAUCGUGUCCUAACUUACUGGGCAUGAUCCCUUUUUAAAUCCGAGAUAGCUAAAUAUCUUUUAAAUAAGUAAAUUUUCGGCAUUCAUUCGCGCAUCGAGAAUUCAAGACUUGUGUCCUAACUUACUGGAUAUAAUUCUCUUUCUCGAUUAAUGUAAAAUAUGCCCUUUUCUCGAAAAUUUUCAACAUUUCAAUAAAGGAUCGUAUUUUUAAAAUUCUUCAAAAUUUUCAAUCUUCGACACUAAGACAUUAAUUAAUCAACUAGGUACCAAUUUUGGGCGCUACGAGGGUGCUAAUCCUUCCUCGUACGUAAUUGACUCCCGAACCCAUUUUUUGAAUUUCGUGGACCAAAAUCGUUGUUUUAAUAAAAUCAAAUUGUUUAUUAAAAUAACCACUUUUCGAGGUGGCCCGAUCACACCUUAUCAAAAAGGAUUGGUGGCGACUACCAUAUUCGUUUUCAUUUUUAAAAUCCAAGUCGACCCCGUUUUGUCAAAAAAAUAGUGUCAACAUAGUCCAUUAUGAAGAGUCCAUAAUUCUAUGUCUACACUUGUAGUACAAGGGAUGUGGCAGUAGGAUCCUACGAUCCAGUUUCCGUGUUGGUCUUUUAUAAAGGCUCAAGAGUUUAAAAAAUCCUUAAACUUUUUUUUAAAAAAACAACAAAUCCCUCCUCUUUUUUUUUUUUUUGCACUCAAUUAAGCACUUGAACUUUCAAAAUGUAUAAAGGCCCUCAAACUUCUUCAAAGAAACCAAUUAAACCCCUAUUUUUUUUCACUCAAUUGGGUACUUGAACUUUCAAAAUGCAUGAAAAAGAUCCUUAAAAUUUUUCAAAAAAGCAAUUAAGCCUCUACUCUUAUUAAAAAUUAGAAAAAAUAAUUAUAAAAAUAAUAAAUUUUAGAAAAUUUAUUAAAUUUUAAUAAAAAUAUAAAAUAUAAAAAAUUAAAAAUUUAUUAAAAUAAUUUUUAUAAAAUCAUAAAUAAAUUUUAAAUUUUUAUAAAAAUCAUAAAAAAUUAAUGACCCUUAUUUUUUUCAAUUAAAGUCAUCACGUGUCGCAAUACAGUGUGACAUGUGGUGAAAAAUGAUAAAAGAAUUAAAAAUCAAUAAAAGUUUUAGAAAAUAUUAUAAAAUGCUUCUUUGGUGCAUAAUUUUUAUAAUUUUUUUUCGAAAUUUAUAUUUCUUUACAUUUUGUAUAAUUUUCUUACUAUUUUAUAAACUUUUAUAUUUUUUUAUGUUUCUAUAUAUUUUAUAUAUUUUUUUACGAUUUUUAUAAAAUUUUACCAUUUUUAUAUUUUUUACGAUUUUUAUAUUUUUUUUCUAAUUUUUAAUAAAUUUUAAUAUUUAAUUUUUUUAUUAAAAUUUAUUAAAAUUUAUAGCUUUUAUUGAUUUUAUUUUUUUAUAAUUUUUUUUAUAAUUUGUAAUAAAAAUAGGGGCUUAAUUGGUUUUUUUUUUUAAGUUUGAAAGUCUUUUUGAUACAUUUUAAGAGUUCAAGUAGCCAAUUAAGUGCAAAAGAAAAGGAGCUUAAUUACUUCUUUUUAGAAAAAAAAAAUUUGAGGGUUUUUUUUUGCACUGUUAAAGCUUUCAUAAAUGCACUUGAUCCAUCUCUUCAUGUGCCUAUUGAAGAUUCAUCUGUAUUCAGCUUCGACUAUCCCUACUCUAGUAGCUGCCAAUUAAUUGGAGUAAAUGAUUGUAAAGGCUUCGCACAAUUGGUAGGCCUUCGUUAUUAACUUGUUAAAGCUUGUAUAAAUUUAAAAUAUCCUAAAUUAGAUCAAAUCUUGUCUAUUUCCCCACAAGAUUUAAAGUUAAGGGUCCAAACUCUUUUAACUCCUAAGACAGCAACCCACAAAUUCAUAGUUCACUAAUUUAAGCACACCAACACCAAUAAAAAAAAACCAAAUUCAUUGUCUUGUCUGGAUCCAACUAGCCCAAUUAGUGUUUCGAACUCACUGACUAUGUCUAAUGUAUAGUCUCGCCCAAGUUAUGUCUACUUCUCCACUUGAGCCCACACUCCUAGGUUAAUAAAUGGAAACCCAAUUUUAGGAUGGAAAUUUGUGUGGAAAAUAUGAUUGUUUUUCCCUAAAGAAAUUAAACUUUUUGCACCUACAAUUCUUUAGUGAAUUGCGAAUAUCAAGAUGUGCUCGUGAUUCUGAUUGUGCUUCAUUCAACUUGACAGACAAUUAGUAUCCUGCCAACUCUCCUCUUGACAACUUAUAAUGACACAAUAUAAGUUAAAAAUAACUACAAAUUCCAUCUCUCAUUCCUUAAUCUUAAUUUGAUUAAUAUUUAUAAAUUUUGAUAAACAGGGAAGUGAUAUUUUUAAAGAAUCAGCAUAUUUUAGUUAUUUGUAGACACCUGGCAUCCAUGCUUAUCAAUUAUCAUGUGUCUAGGGCAAUGCUGUAGUCUACACUCCCUUAGUUUGGGGUAAAACUAUGGAUUGCAUAUUUGCAUUUUAGAAUAAGAAUAGGGAUAUUUGAUAUCUAAUCCUUCAUCUUCUCUUCAUUUUAGUAGCAGCAGAAACCUUUUUAUAUUCACUAAUAACCCCACAUCUUUAUUUUAAUCAUUUCCCUAUGGAUACGGGAAACAAGUGAUUUUCUUUUUAUCAAAUUAUUAUUCCUUUUUCUUUUUAUGUGAAGCCUAGAGAUAUGAGAAAGGUUGUAUAUAUUUGUUAAUUGCCAUCUCAUAAAAUCAACUUAAAUUAACACCACAUUAACCUUACUAAUCAUAUUUAAUGUGAUUUGAUAUUUUGAUGCAUAAUUGACUAACUUUUAUGGAUAAAAUAAGGAUUAAAAUUGAAUUAUAAAUUUUUAAGAGGUUAAAAUAUAAUAUUUUUUAAAAAAGAUUAAACAAUUUUUUUCAUUUUUUAAAAGAUGAAAUUGUAAUGUUAUUAUAUAUUAACUUAUAAUUUUAUCGAUAUUGAAUUACAACUUUCUAUAUUAAGGGAGACUACCUACCCUCCAUAGAUUCACCUAUAGAUAAAACUACAAACCCUCGUUGAUUGCCCCUACUUAAUUCUAAAUGUUAAAUUCUAGUUUUCUACUUCAUCCUAAUAAACUUUAGGGUAAACUAUAUAAAUAGUCACUCAAUUAUGCUCGCGUUCUUGUUUUGGUUAUCCACUUUUAAAUAUUUUCAAUUUAAGUACUAAUAUUUGCAUUUGUUCCUAUUUUGGUCACCAAUCGUUACAUUGAGAACGGAAAGUCUUUUUCUAAUUGAUAUAAUAACACAUUUAGUCCUCAGUACUUACAUAUUCUAUCAAUUUGAUCCUAAUUCUAAAUAAUUUAAUAAAUUCAACCAUUCACAUUUACAAAUUCUAUCAAUUUGAUCCUCAAUCUUACAGACCAUAGCUUUGAACUCUUAAAAGAAAGGCAUUCCACAUCUAUAAAUUUGUAAAACCCAAACAAGAAAAAAAAAACUUCUCUCAACUAACAAGUCAUAUUCCAAGCCAACUCCUGAUAUCAAUGAGUUUAUCUUAAAACUUUAAUUAAUUUCCCUUUUUUUUAUCAUUUUUCUUCUAAAUAUAAUAUUUUAUAACCCUUUGGUUGAUAAAAUUUUUGCUAAAGAAAAUGGAAAAACCUAAAAAAAAAAAAGAAAAAAAAGAAAAGAGAAACACUUUAGAUUUACUCUUGUUGUUAAUAGUAUGAUAUUUCCUUCAAGGCACAUAGAAAUAGUCCUCGAGGUUGGUUCUUAAAUUUGGAAAUUAAAUCCAAAGUUAAAAAAUAUAGCUUUAAAAACUUCAAUUGUUCAAUCAAUAAUUAUAUGAGAACAAAGUUAUAAACUUUACAUUUUUAUAAGAAAAAAGUGUGAAAGAAUUAAGAGAUUAUUACGUGUUCUAUUUUUCUCUAAUUUUUAAAUUCAUAAUAAGCAAUAUGUAUCACUAAUAAUUUGAUUUAGUGUCAAAUCAUUUACAAAUUAAUUAAAAACUUAAGUUAUGCUAGUCAGGUUGAAAUUAUAAUUUACAAAUAUUAAAUUAUUUAUGUAAUUUUAUUAUAUACUAUAUUUUUAGAAUUUUUAUUUUCUAUUAUUUUUAAUGGCGUUUAGUUAAUUUCUAACUCCAACUUCUUAAAAAUAUAAACAAAAAAAGUUAUGUAUCAAAUUGGAUAAUUUCAACCAUAAAUAAAACAAUUAAUAGAUGUGGAAUGUCUCUGUUUUAUAAGUUGAAAGCUUUGGUCAGGAAGUUUGAGGAUCAAAUUAAUUGAAUUUGCAAUUUAUUGAAUAAUUUAGAAUUAUGAUCAAAUUAAUAGAAUAUGUAAGAAUUGAGAACUAAAUGUGUUAUUAUACUAAUUAAAAAAAAGGCUUCCCGUUAUCAAUUUAACAAUAGUGACCAAAACAAGAACAAAUCAAAAGGUUAAUGUCUAAAUUAAAAAAUUUAAAGCUGAGCAAUUAAAAUAAAAAUCCGAGCAUAGUUGGAUAACCAUUUAUAUAAUUUAUUAUAAUUCUUAUUCCCUAACAUUUCUUAUUUAUUAAGUAUAUUUACUUUAUUAACGAAGUUAACUAGGUUUUUUUAGCCCAAACAUAGUUUUUUCAUUGCUACAAUAAUAUUUAAUUAACUUUUUUUUGCUACUCUUUUUUUAUUCAAUUUUGUUUUACUUAACUAAAUAUUAAAAAAUUAUAAACAUUUUAUUAUUAAAUCAAAAAAAAAUAUUUCAAAAUAAUCUUAUAUACACUAUGAAAAAUAGGUUUAAAUAGGGUAGAGAUCCCUGUACUCUUUUGAAAUUUAAAUUUAGUCCUUAUACUUUAAUUUUGAGGCAUUUAGUCAUUUUACUUUUUUAUUUAAAAAUCUUGGUCCCUUCGUCUAAUUUUAGUAUUAAGGUUAUUGAUGUAGUAAUUAAAAAUGGUAAAUUAACAUUUUUAGCCCUUAAUGUUUACAAUUUUUGUUAAAUUAGUCUUUAUUCUUUAAAACUGCAUAAAAAUUUUAAAAAUUAAUUUUUUUUCACAUCUUAAAUAAAAUUAAAAAUUAAAAAUAUAAUUUUUAAGAAUUUUCAAAAAUUAUGAAAAAAAUAAAACUCUUUAAAUUCAAAAAGUAAAAAAAAUAAAUAUUAUUUUCAAAAAAUAAUUUAAAAAAUUAAAAAAGAAUCCAAAAUUCAAUAUUGUCUUAACCAAACCAGACGGCCAGUUGGACCAAGAAUCGGUUGAGGUAUCAUCCAGCAACAAGUAAAAAACGGUUGACUUACAAACAGAUACAAACUGGUUGAAUCGGGCUAAAAACUGAUUGAACCGAUUUUAUUUUUUAUUUUUUACUUUUUUGAAGUUUUAAUAUUUUUUGCUUUGAAUAGGUCAAACUAGGAACUAGUGGUUUGAAGAAUUCAACUACUGGUGGUUCCAAAAAUUAUUGCUUGAAUUUUUGGAAAUUUUUAUAUUUUUCAAUUUUAAAAUUAUUUAAAAUUAUUUAAAAUAAUUUUUAAAUGAUUUUUAUUUUUAUUUUUAAGAGUUUGUAGUUUUUCACAAUUUUUAUUGAUAAUAUGGAAAAAAAUACUUUUAUUUUUAAAAAAAUAUGUUUUUGUAUUUGCUUAUGUACUUUUAAAGAGUAAAGAUCAAAUUUACAAAUAUAUAUAUAUAAAUAUUGAGGUCUAAAAAAAUUAUUUUACAUUUUUUUUAAUAAUGGUCAUAUCAACAAUUCUAACAACAAUGUUGACAAAGAGAUCAUGAUUUUUAAAUAAAAAAUACAAGAACUCAAUGUCUCAAAGUUAAAAUAUAAGAGUUAAAUUUUAAAUUUUAGAAAAGUACAGGGACCUUUGGCAUAUUUAAACUUUAUAAACAAUAAAUAUAAUAAAAAGAAUUAGUUAAAUAAAAUUUAAAUUUAACUAAUUAAAGCGUAAUUUAUAACAUUUUUCAAUGAAUAUGAUAAUUUUAUUUGUUUAUAGUACUAAAUUAAGGUAAAGUACAGAAAUGGUCCUUAAAGUAUUGCCCGUGUUCUAUUUUAGUCACUAAACUUUUAAAUUUUUCUAUUUUAGUUACUAAACUAUACGAAAUCAAAUAUUUUGUCACCGAUCCUUAAGAGCCAUUUGAAUAUUAAUGGAAGUGCUGAUGUGAGAUUUUUUUUAUUGGUCUAAUAACAAAUUUAGCCUUUUAAUGUUUACAUAUGCUAACAAUUUAAUUCAAAAUAUAAAAUAUUCAACAAAUUUAGUGCUUAAUGUUUACAAAAUUUGUCAUUUUAGUUCAAAUUCUAAAAUUUCAAUAAAUUUAGCCCUCAAAAUUUAGAAAAUGACUAAAUUUCCGUCUCUUUUAGCCUGGAACUUGCACCCCAAAAUAGAUGGAAAAGUUAACAUCUAUUAACUUUAUUGGUGUGGCAAUCCACAUGUAUUCUACUAAAAAAAAUUUAAAAAUAUAUAGAAAAUUAUUUAAAAAUGAAAAAAAAUUAAAAAGUAUUUAAAAUCCAAAUAUAUAUUAUUAAAAGUUAAAAAAGAAUAUAUAAAAUAUGGUAAAAAUAUUAUAAAGCUGUGGUUUCCAAUUAAAGCUAAGUGGAGCACCUACUUGUAUAUAAUCAUCUCAUUGUUGUGUAAUGAAGAACAAGAAAUACGACAACAUUUUUCUUCAUAUUUUAUGAGGUAAAAACUCAAUUGAAUUCUUUUUAAUGACUUUUUAUAGCUAUAAAUGCUUGUUAUACAAGUAGGCAUAAGCUAAAUAAAUAGAAAAGGGAAAGUGCAUCUCUCUUAAUUUCAGUAGCAAAAUAGAGAUGUGGAAAUAUCUAAGAAAAAAUGGAAAAUAUUAAAAAAAAGGAAUAAAGGGCAAGUGGCAGAACCCCCAAAGCAAAACUUGUGUUGUAAAAAUAAACUCUGAAAGUGUACAUAUGUUUUGAUUGUCCCACCUUUCCUUCCAAAUAUUCUAUCUGAGGCCAAACCCCAUAGCCCACAGGUCCAAAACUCCCCCAUUGAUCCCCUCACCCCUUCCAAUUUCCACUCCUUUUGAUCUUUAUUUCCUCACCUUGACAUCCAUAUUCCUCCGCAGAUUUUUUCCUUUGAUUGAAUCUUCAUUUUCACCCUCACAAUGCACUUCCAUGGGUUACCAACGUUUGCAUGCUUCUUUUAAUUCUCACCCAGUUUUUGAUUCACUUUCGAUCUCCCCUUUCCCACCACAUAAAAGAUCUCUCUCUUCUUGUUGGCCACUAGUUCACUAGUUUUUUAUCAGUCAAUCAAUUAAAAAGUUAACCAGUUCUUCAAUCUUUUUCUUCAUUUUCACACCAUCCCUUUUGUCCCUACACAUCUAUGAAUACACAUGUACAUACACUUUUUCUUUCUGGUUCUGGAUUAUUUUUAUUCCUAUCCAUUAAGUUGAACUUCUACAGAUAUGGCUAUAUAUUUCACGACAUUCAAUCACAACUUAAUUCCACCAUUUAUAUAAAAAAAAUUCUUACAUAAGCAAAUUUAAAUUAUAAUUAUUUAAUUGAUUAAGAAUAAUGGGAAAAUUUUGCAUGACAAUUCAUAACUCGUAAUGAGUUAUCCUCAAACCCUUAAAGAGGAGGAUAGAACGUGCUUAAGUGUGCUCAAAUUCCCCGUUUUCUUGUACUAGCAAUAAUGUCAAUGCCAACUGAAAUAAGGCUCAAUCGGCUAUAAUUAUUUUAAAUUUUAAUUAGAUAAUAUUUUAUUUAGAUAAAUGAAUAAAUGUAAAAAAUCAUCUAAGUCAAGUUUUAAAUUAUUUUAAAUAGAUACUAAAAGUUUCAUGAAUUAGAUAUAUUGUUUGACUAUGUUUCAUUAAUAUUAAAUUUAUUUUAGAAGGUUUUAACGUAAAAGCAAGAAAAAUUGUUUUAUUACCAAUAAAGGUAAUUGAAACAAACGUUUUUAUUUGAGUCCUAGCUAUAUACCAUCUCAACUCAACCGAAAGGAUUGUAUGAAACUGUAAUUCCGCGUUAUCCUUAUUCCUUUCCAAUAGGACAAUGACAAAUCAUAUUUUUUCUCCUGAUUUUCAACAUUUUUAGUUGAAUUUAAUUUUUUUCAAGGAUGAAAAAUCUGAUUUCAAAUACAUUUAAACUCAAACAAUAAAAUGUAGAGAGAAAAAAAAACCUCUUUUACCAUAGAUAGAACCCACUUAUACAUUUUAUUCACUAUCUCAAUAAGCGGCCAGUUUUGGCCAAACGAAUACAAAUAAGAAAGGAAUAUAGCCUUUGAAUCUAGGGUGAUUUUAUCUUGUUUUAUACACUUCUCUUGUCCCCAUACACACAAAAUUAUAGAACUUAAGUUUCAGAUUCCACAUAUAUUUCUCUCUCUUUUUUUAUUUCCAUAGUAAGGAAUAUAGCCUACCACCUUCACAACAUUGUAUAUAUAUACUUCCCCCUAGGCUAUAUGGAACUUCAAGCUAUGUUCAUUUCCAUGACAUUCCCGAUGUGGUUUUGGCCAUCAUAUUCUCCUUAGUUGCUGAUACCCGUACUCGCAAUGUCAUGUCCCUUGUAUGUCUGAAAUGGCACUUGCUUGAGCGUUCCACUCGCAAAUCCCUCACCCUCCGUGGCAACAUCCGCAAUCUCUUCCUCCUCCCCACUUGCUUUCGAGCCGUUACCCAUCUCGACCUUUCUUUGCUCUCCCCAUGGGGACACCCUCUUCUUGAUUCCUCUUCAAACCCGCUUCUUCUCGCUCAACUCCUUCGGCAUGCAUUUCCCUCUGUUGUUUCUCUAGUAGUUUAUAUCCGUAACCCUUCAACUCUCCAUCUUCUAGCUCCCCAAUGGCCUAACUUACGACAUGUUAAGCUUAUACGUUGGCAUCAACGUUUGCCUACAGAACCUCUUGGUUCUGACUUUACUGCCCUUUUUGAGUAUUCUGGUAUGCUUUCCUCACUUGAUGUUUCACUUUUUCAUUCCUGGACUGAAGAUCUUCUACCUGCCAUUAAAGCCUACCCUUUGAUUGCAGCUUCUCUUUCUCAUCUUAAUAUCCUCAAACAUUCUUCAGCUGAGGGAUUCAAGUCCUAUGAGCUUUUAGCCAUUACUGCUUCCUGUCCAAACCUCCGUAAAUUGCUUGCAACAUGUAUAUUUGACCAUCGAUUUAUUGGAUUUGUUGGCGAUCAAACCUUGCUUGCUCUUGCUUCCAAUUGUCCUUGCCUUUCUUUACUUCACCUUGUUGAUGCUACGUCUUUGUCCAACAUUAGGCCUAAUCCAAAUGAUGAGGGUUACACAUCUGAAGAUGCAAGUAUCAGUCAUACUGCACUUGGAGAUGUAUUUGCUGGAUUGCCACUACUUGAAGAGUUGGUUCUCGAUGUUUGCUACAACGUUAGGGAUACUUGGCUGGCGUUGGAAUUGCUUAAUUCCAGGUGCCCCAGGCUUAAAGCCUUGAAGCUGGGACAAUUCCAUGGAAUCUGUAGGGGCAUAAAUGCUUGGCUAGAUGGGAUCGCCCUUUGCCAAGGGUUGGAAUCUUUGUCAAUCAAGAAUUCUGCUGACCUAACCGAUAAAACAUUAGAAGCCAUAUCUCUAGGCUGCCCCAGACUGUCCAAGUUUGAGGUUUUAGGAUGUAAAAAGAUCACAGGCAAAGGGAUGUGGGAAUUGACUCACGCUCUUAGGAAAACUUUGGUCCAUGUCAAAAUUUCUUUCUGCAAAAACUUUAAUGCAGUUUCUUCAUUGCAGGCAAUAAAACCAAUUCGAGAUCAGAUUGAAAGGCUCCAUAUAGAUUGCGUGUGGAACACCCUUGACAAUUCAGAAAACCAGACAAGAAGUAGUUCAAGUCAGGAACUAAGUGAAUUAUACAACUUACAAGCAAGAAAGAGAGACAUGAUCAAGGAAGAGAAAAGGUUAAAAAAGAAAAGCAAGUCCCACUUCCACGAUGUCGGGGACGAAAACUUGUUCUCUUCUAGGACAUGGUCCAAACUACAUCAUCUUUCCCUUUGGAUAGGUGUAGGUGAGUUGCUCACUCCAUUAUCCUUGGCAGGUCUAGAUGAUUGUCCAGCGUUGGAAGAGAUAGAAAUAAAGAUUGAAGGUGAUAGCAGAAAUCAACAGAGGCCUUGCAUGGAUUCACUAGGGUUGCGUUCCUUAGCUUGUUAUCCAAGGCUUUCAAGGAUGCUCUUGGACUGCAGUGGAGUCAUAGGUUAUGCUCUUACAGCUCCCCUAGGGCAGGCAGAUUUGAGCUUGUGGGAGAGGUUUUUUCUAAAUGGGAUUGAGAUAUUGAAUCUUAAAGAGCUCAACUAUUGGCCGGCACAGGACAUGGAUCUGAAUCAGAGAAGCCUAUUUCUACCAGCAGCAGCGUUGCUAGCGCAAUGUGGGAGCCUAAGGAAACUGUUCAUUCAUGGAACGACAAAUGAACACUUCAUGAUGUUCCUAUUGAGAAUCCCAACACUCAGGGAUGUUCAAGUUAGAGAAGAUUAUUACCCUGCACCUGAGAAUGAUACAAUCACAGAGAUGCGAGUUGAAUCUUGUCGUCGAUUCGAGGAUGCUCUCAAUAGUAGCAAUCGUCAUAUUCCUGAUUAGAAAUAGUGUUCCAAGUUGCUAAAUUCCUACUACUUUCAAGCCAGAGAGGAGCGUAAAUAACUUUUUCCUAAUAAAAAAUUCAAUAUAUGUUUGUAUUAAGGUUCCUUUGUGCAAUAUUUUCAAAAUUAAGUAUGGAUUGGGAUACAAUCUCAUGUUGUUAAAUGGUAUAGAAACAACAAUUCAAUUGUAUCUCUUUUAUGUACGAUAGGGGAUACUAUUUUGUCCUAUACAUCUUAUUAAAUAUAAUAAUAUAUACAAAAUAUUUAUAAAUUAAAAAUAAUAAUAUUUAUAAAUAAUUUCCAAAUUUUAUAACAAAUAAAAAAAAUCAGAUACUUAUAAAAGUUCCAAAAAUCCAAAAAUAUGAAGAUUUAAAAAAAAACCUCUAGAAAAAUUAAUUAAUGUCAACCACUUCGACUGUCACUUGAAAAAAAAGUGUCAUAUCAACUAAAAUUAAGUAUCAAAGACAAAGACAGAGAUGAAAAGCAUAUAACUUAAUUAAGUUUUGAAUAAAUUUUUAGAAGGCUUAGCAUUUAAGAGAAAAAAAAAUAAAAUGAUUUAAAAACAAAAUAAAACAAAACAAAAAGAAAGGGUAUAUUCUAAAAGAGUAUGCUUUAUCAUACAUGGGUUCAACUGUUAAUUUGUGGACAAUGAUAAAGUAUGUGAAGCUUCAUUGUCCAUCUCACCAUGAGGAUAGGGUAUCUAUUCCAAUGGCACUUCUGUGUAUAUAGUGCGGCAUGGUGGAGUUGCUCUAUCCUGUAGAUUACAUUUUAGUUUUUAAUUAGAAAAUGUGUAAAUUAAUUUAUAUAUAUUAGAUAAGUGAGUAAAAUAACUCUCAAUUAAAAUUGUAUGGUUAAAUGUUUGUUUUAGUGUUUAUAUAUAAGGUAUAAUAAUAAAUUUAGCCCUUAACCUUUACAACUGUAAUGACCCGAUUUUCAGUGAUGUCGAAAAAUAUGAUUUUGGAACCCCAUUUUUAUAAACCGAGUUCAUAAUGACGAAAUAUAAAUAUUUAUGAAGUUACUAUGAAAAUAUAAUAAAGAGUGUUAAGUAAUCAUUUUGGUCCUUUGGAUAAUUAUUAUAUAAGUCCCCAAGAAUUUUCUUAAUUAAAAUUCAAUAGCGUUAGACUUCUACAAUUUACUCCUUAAGCUUUAAUUAACUAAUUUCUCGGUUAAAUUACUUACCCGGACUUAAAUACAUGUAACAACCUUAAUUUGUAUCUGUCACCGAGAUCGGGUCACGGAGUAUUACGAUAACAAUUUAAACAUUUAAAAUUACUAUCUUAAAAAUAUUCAAUUAUAAUUACAAUUGAAUCAAUCUCAAAUCAUUCAUAAUCUAACAUGCACUUACGAGCCUUAAAACGAGUCUACGAGACCCUAAAAAUAAAUUAGAAACAUUCUGGGGUCAAUUCGAAACCAAACGGAAAAGUUAAGAAAAUUUAAAAAUUUUUGAAUACAAGGGACACAUGGUCGUGUGGCCAAGUCGUGUGUCACAGCCCAGACCGUGUAGACAUUUGAUGUUGAGUCACACGACCAUGUCGCUGGUCGUGUCUCAGACCAUGUAACAGUCUGUUUUAACAAAUGGCCGUGUGGAUAGACUAUGUGGGUCAUGUAACACCCCCAUACCCGACCCGGUCGCUGAGUCAAGGCAUCAGGAUGUCACAUUCGUUGCCGAAGCAACUACUGAAAAUUUCAGAUCAAUGUAUCAUAUUAUUUAAUUAAUAUAGAUCAUUAACUCAUUUCAGUAAUAAUUGAAUUUAUGAUAGAACUAAUUAUGAGUUAAAGGAGCUCAUUAAAACAUCCAUAAUUGAUCAAAGACCAAAUUGUAUAGGUCAUAAAAAAUUUUGAACUGCCAUCGCGACGUUGGGGUUUACACGUCGUGACAUGGCGAACUUGUCAUCGUGACGUCGUCUCCAUUUUCCUACAAGUUCCACGCUUUAUUUUUAUUUAUUUAUUUAUUUAUAUCAUUACCUAAACCAUAUUCAGAUGUCAUAACCGCCACUUCAUUUUACAUAUCAUCGACUUACAUCUAUUUCUAAUCUCAAGUCCUUAUAAAAACAUUAUAUUCAAUCAAAGAUAACAAAGUUUAUAAAAUUAAUACAAAUAUUAAAGUUUUACAAAUAAGACUAUUGGAGGACUUGCACUUUCAAAGUAGUUUACCCACUUUAUGUAUAUUUCAUAUUUAUUUCUAAAUUGUAUCAAUCAAUUUAAUUCUUCAUAAAAUUUUAACAAGAAUUCAAUAUCACAUCAAUUAACAAUUAUUCACUUAUUAUUUUAUCAAUUCGUUUAAACAUAUUCACAUGUAUUAAUCAUUCCAUCACUUACAACUAUUUCGAAACAUUUCAAAUUCGUCUACUAUAUAUAUAUUCAUAUAUUUUUUCCUCCUCCUCCUCUCCAUUCCACAUCCUUUAUGUAUAUAUUUAUUAGAAUCUUUAGCUUUUAGUAUAUAACAUGCUUAUAUGUAACAUUGUCUAUAAUUCCACUAUUUACUUAUAUGUUCAUAUCAAAGAUGUCCACUUGAGUCAUAGUCACUAAAUUAUUUAUAUAUUGAGCUACAGAAUUCGAAAUUAAUAUCCGCUUGAUGUUUUUGAAACUAGACUCAAAUAUCUUUUUACCAUAAAAAUUUUAGAAUUUAUAAUUUAGCCAAUAAGUACAGUAAAUUAUUCAAAUUUGUCCUUGUUCUGUUGCUUGACAGCUUCGACCUUUCUUUACUAAAAAUUAAUUAUCUCUUAGUACAGGGUUUGGAUGAUUUUUUCGUUUGUUUCUAUUGAAAAUAGACUCAUUAAUAAUUUAAACAUAUAAAAUUAAACUCAUAAUCAUUUUUUUUACAAUUUUUUAUGAUUUUCCAAAGUCAAAACAGGGGAACUCGAAUUCACUCCGACCUUGUUUCACGAAAAUUAAUAUAUCUCAUAAAAUCUCGUUUCUUUCACCGUUUCUUCCAUAUGAAACUAGACACAAUAAGCUUUAAUUUCAUAUUUAAUUCAAUCUCUAACUAAAUUUCUUUAAUUUUAGGUGAAUUUUCAAAGUUAAGUCAUUGCUACUGUCCAAACUAUUUUAAUGAAAAUAUUUUCUUUUCCAAGGUUCUUUGCACUAUCUUUCAUUCAAUCACACAUAAUUGUCAUGCUUUUGAUUACUAUACAAUUUAGUCACUUAUGUUUAUGUUUAGAUUACAUAUUCAUUUCUUAAUCUUAGUACUUUUCACCAUGCAAAUCACAUUUUCUCUUACCAAUUUAGUGUUUUAAGUCUCUAUUCUUCAUCAAAUACUUUUUAUUUCUAGUAUUUAGAUUAAAUACAUGUUUCAUACAUCUCACUUAAAACAUCUUUAACUCAAUCUAUUGAAAUACAAGUAGGUUUAGUAUGAAACUUACCAACUUUGUCAAGAAUUUCUUCAUUUCUUCUUUAUUUCCAUGCAUUUCUUAUCUUCACCACUUUUCUUCCUUUUUCUUCUCAUUUUUUUUCCACUUUCAUCUAUUAUUUUCUUGCUUCUAAAUUGAUAAGUAUAUUCUCUAGAAUCUCUACUUCAUCUUCUCUCUUUAACAUCUAAGGAAAUUUUCAAAAAUUUUGGGCAAAAAGAUAGGUUUUCAUGGCAAAAGACUAAAUUGUAAAGAAAAGAAAACUUCAUUUAUCAUCCUUUCACUCACGUUGGAAGGAUGAUAAAUUUCCUUCAUCCUUCCUUUAUCUAAGUAAAAUAUUAAUAAAAUAAUAUUUAACUAAUUAAUUAAAAAAACCACCAAAAUAUCAUCAACAUCAUUAUUACAUUCUAGAAUUCUCCCUGUUGCUAAUUGACCAUUUUACCCUUUAUGAUUUUUUAAAAUUCCAUCAUUGAAUUAUCACUUAAUUUGGUAAAAUUACGAUUUAGUCCCUCACAAUUCUUCACCUAUUCAAUUUGGUCCCUGUAGGCCUAUUCCAUAUCUUAGGAAAUUAGAUUAUUUUCACUUUUGGUCUUUCAAAAUUUUCAUUUUUACAAUUCAAUCCCCUAAAUUUUGAAUAUUUACACUUGAGCCAAAAAAAAUUAACAUAUUUACAAUUUAGUCCCUUCCUUAAUGCAUUAUGUCAUGCUUUUUGAUUUAACUCACUGUUGAUAUAUUUCAAGUUUCAUUUUCUUUGAUCUUAUACCUUAUUUCGGUAAGAUUUUAUCUCACAUUAUUUACGACCAAGGGGGUUUUGAGGAUGUUAUAGGUCACACGGCUGCGUGGCAGCCCGUGUCCCAGGCCGUGUGCACCAAAUUUUGCUUCAAAAAAAAGGUAAACUUUACACCUAACUUGGCCACCAAUCCAAACCUAAAAACAUAACCAAAAAUACUCUCAAACAAAUCAAAACAUACCAAUUACCUACAAUUCAUGUGCCUAACCAAUGUGCCAUUCAAAUGAACCUCAAACAAAGACUAAUUAUCUCAUAACCUUGUUAAAGAGCAUAUGACAUUAACCACUUUCUCAUCCUCAAUCAACAUUCACCAAAAUGACCAAAUAUAACCAAUAUUACCAAGUUCCAUUUUACAAAGUAUUUACCAAUUCACAUCAAUAAUAUACACAUCCAAAAGAGUCAAGCUUAUCAACAUGCUUAUUUCAAUCACAACUAUAUACAAACAUUUGUUUCAAGACAUAACAUAAUUUUAAAUUUUAUAUGACUUUCAAUAUAAGUAAAUUAUACUAGAUUCAACCAUAGACCUAAAGACUAUUAGUCAAAAUAUCAUUAUCCUAGGUACAUGCCAUGACACAAAAAGAAAUACGUCACAAAUGUUGAGUUCAAGAUUUGUCGUGGAUGCUGAGUCAUUGAAAAAAAGUUUGCGCCCAGCGCUAGUCGAAUGAAUCGACAAUGGUUUCCUGCACUUCCAACACAAGAUCAGAUAAUCUCUAUUCCAUCAUAUCAUAACUAAACUUCUCAAGUUUACCAAUAUUGCUCUUCAUCAACUUAUUCAAUUCAAUAUACAACCCAUAAUUAUACACAUAAAUCAUUUAUCCAUAACCAACCAUUUAAAACUAUUUACUCAAUCAUUCAAUUAUUCUAAUUCAAAGGACUUAAGCUUGGCCGAACUGUUAAACUAAGCUUUAUUUGAUAAAGGAUUUUGAUAUAACAAAUUAAAAGUAUUUUUGAAUGUAAGAUAAAAAUGAUAAAAUAUUUUUUAAAUUUGAAUUCUAAGAAAUAAAAAUAUGAAUAUUUACAAUAAACUCUUAGAGAAUUUUGAAACAAUUUUAAAAUCAAGUGAAAAUUAUUUUAACCAAGUUAAAAUGAUCUUAAUUAAGUUAAAAUCAUUUUAACACAUCAAAAUGAUUUUCAAACAAGUCAUAAUUAUUUCAGGCCAAAAAGUAUCGAUACCAUUUGACCAAGUAUCGAUAAUUUUUUUUGAAAUAUCGAUACCCUUAGAAAAAUCGAGACCAAAAAGACAUUCUAUCAAAACCCUAAAAAUUAUCGAUACCAUGUUUUUGGUAUCGAUACUUUUUGAAAAUAAUCGAUACCUUUCUUCAAAACGAUACCAAACCCUACAAAGUACUGAUCUGGUAUCGAUACCUAUUUUAGGAAGUAUCGAUAAAAUAUUUUUAAAGUAUCGAUUAUUUUAUUCCAAUAUCGAUACCCUUUUUGGAGGUAUCGAUACUCGCUGUUACAGGUGAAAUAAAUGUUCUGGUUUUACAUCCCCAACGGCCAUAUUAAGUUCACCAACAACCUCAACGGCUGUAAAUCUAUUAGAGGGUAUAAAUACCAUCUUUUAAAGUCCUACAACAUCCAAGAAAAUACUUUCAAGCAAAAAUCAUCAAUCAAACAACCUUAGAACUUAAAUUUUCAUAUUCUUCGUACACACACUUGUGAGUUUUAUCUUUAUUCUUUUGCUCAAGUGUAUCUCAUUGUAUUUGUGCUUCAAUUUGCAAACAAUUUUAUCUAUCUUGUAAGAAUUGUUUCUUUGUUUGCUCAUUUGUAUCUCUUUGAGAGGGCUUGAAACUUAAGAUUUGGGGUAGAAAUCUUAAGGAGUUGUAAGGUUAAACAUUAUUCUCAAAGGUUAGAACAAAUUAGUGAAUUUGGGAAAAUCCUUAGUGGUGAAAAGCUAAGGUAGUGGAGUAGGCAAUUGGGGCCAAACCACUAUAAAUUCUUUGUGUUCAUUGUUUCAUUCUUAGCUUUUCUUGCACCAAAUUUUUUAAAGGCCAAUUCACCCCCUCUUGGCAUUUUCGGUUUACUUCAUCAAGAUAUCAAUAAUAUUUCAUGCAAUUAAUACAAUUAUAAAACUUAAAUAAGUUGUUUUAUACAAUUCAAUCCUUCCAUCAUCAUUUUACAAAAUUACCCUGACAUUUUACCUUUCACGCAAUUUAAUCCCUAAGUCUUAUACUUGUAAAUUCACUAAACUUAAUCAUUACUCAUGUUGGCCGAAUAUUCUAGGGACCUAUUACAGCCCAUAUUUAUCAUUAUUUCACAAUAUUUCUAUGAAAUUUAACUAUUUUCAUAAAUAAGUCCCUAAACCAUAAAAUCACUAAAAAUCACUUGACAAAACUUGUUUAUUUAACCACCAAAUUUAAUAAUCUAUCAUCUAAAUUCAAAAUAUAUUCAAAAUAUAUCAUGGCAAGUCCCUAAAAUUUUAACAAAUUUAUAAAUUAACCCCGGGCUAGCUAGAUUAAGCUAAAAUGAGUUCAAAAAUAUAAAAAUUAUUUAAAAUGGAUAAAAAAAAUCAUACCAUGCAAAGGACUUAAGCUUGGCUGAACCUUGAGGAUGCAAAAAUGGUGGUUUUUCCUUCUUCAUUUUUGGUGAUAUUGGAGAAGAAGAUGAUAGCUUUCUUUGAUUUAAUCUUGUUUUAAUUUAAUUUAUUUAAUUACCAAUUUACCCUUAGUAUAAUAACUAAUAACUACAAGAAUUUGUCCAUAAAUGUCCACUUGCCACCUUUGUGGUUUAUUUACCAUAUAAGCCCAUUAAUUAUAGAUUCCAUAUCCAUUUGACCCAUUUAGCAAAUAGAAUUCCACUUUUGCAACAUUUACGAUUUAAUCCUUUUUACUUAAUUAACUAUCUAAACCUUAAAAAUUCUUUACCAAAUUUUAAUACAACCUUAAUAACACUCCGUAAAUAACGAGAUCUCGAUAGCUCAUUUUUUAAAACCACUUGAACCUAACUAUUCAUUCAAACAAUAUAAAUUAUUAAAUCAAAAUUUAUUACAACACUAUAUUUGACUCGUAAAUAUUAAAUAAUAAUAUUUACAGACUCGUUUGUCGGAUUUGUGGCUCCAAAACCACUGUUUUCGAUACCACUGAAAAUGGGCUGUUAUAGUAUAUUUUUAUAUUAACUCUGUAAAUAUUCUUAUUUCAUAUUUACGGACUUGGUUUACGGAAAUGGAGUUUCGAAAUCUUUUUUUCUACACCACUAGAAUUCGAGUCGUUACAUCGUAUAAGGCUCGUUUAAGAUUGUAUAUCAUGUCAUAAUGAUGUUCUGGACUCAGUAAUAUGUAUUAAUUGUUAAAUUGAACUGUAAUCGAUCGUAGUUGUUCUGAUAACGUAUGUGACAUUUUGUAGCUCAGACCUGGUGAUUGGGUCACUAUGGGGUGUUGCAACAAUAUUUAUUCAAUUUGAUCUCUACUCUUUUAUUAGAUAUAAAUUAGAAAUUUUGAAACUAAUAAGGCUAAAGGAUAAAAAAAGGCCAUAAUAACAAUUUUAAAAAAUCAAUUAAGUCCUUUUAAAAUUUAAAAUUUAUUAAAAAAUUAAAAAAUUUAUAAAAAAUUUUAUAAAAAAUUAAAAUUAUAAAAUUUUCAUUAAAAAAAAUAAUACCAACCCAUUAAAAUCUAAUGGUUAUAAGUUUUUUUUUAAAAAUUUUGAUCCUUACUCUUUUAUUGGCUUGGUAUUGUUAUUUUUAAUAAAAAUGUAAUUUUAAUUUUUUUAACUUUUUAAAUGAUUUUUUAAAUAAUUUUUAAAAUUUAAAAGGUCUUAAUUGAUUUUUUUAAUUUGUUACGAACUGCUUUUUGAUACUUUAUCCUUAUUAGUUUAAAAAUGUUCUAAUCUACUUCCAAUAAAGGAAUAUGAGUCAAAUUGAAUAAAUAUGUAAAGGUUGAAGGCUAAAUUUUUUUUUAUUAUAUCUUAUAUAUACACACCAAAACAAACAUUUGACCAUGCAAUUUUAACAAAAGGGCUAUUUUGCUCACCCGUCUAACAUUUUGGUGAUACUUUUACCUUCUAUCCCGCUUAUUUAUAUGAAUAAUAAAACAAUAUUAUUUGAUUUAUUUUUAUUAAGUUUAAAGUAUUAUUAAAUAUAAAUAUAAAUAUAAAUUAACUAUUUAUUAAUUUUAUAAACAUCAAGUAGACCAAACAAAUUUACUGUAUAUAAACAUUUUAAUCUAAAAUUUUUAUGGCUAAAGGGCUUAAGGCCCUAAACUUUUUUUUUUUAAAUCAACUAAAAUUUUAUUUAUUUUCACUCAAUUGAGUCUUUAAACUUCAAAAUUACAUUUAACUAAUUCCUUUGGUCGUCAAAGGGUAAAUGCUGCCAUUUUGGGAGAUAUUUUCGUCAUGUGGCACGCCAAUAUUGUUUCACGUGGUGAAAUUUAGUGUUUUAUAUCUAAAAUUAUUCAAAAAGUAUUAAAAAUAUAAAAAUAUAGAAAAUAAAUAUAUAUUAUAAAAAUACAUAAACGUGAAAAAUUUUAUUAGAAAUUAUAAAAAAUAGAGAAGUGCAAAAAAUUUAUAUAAAAUUCACGUUAUAUGAAAUACGAAAAACUAAAAGAAGUAAAAAUUAAAAAAAAUUAAUAAUACAAAAAUAUUAAAAAUGAAUAAAUUUUACAAAAUAUUAUAAAAAGCAUAAAAAUAUUAGAAAAUAUAUAUGAAAAAAAUAAAAAUCAUUUUUUCAUUUGCACACUAACCAUCAUUUGACCCUCGAAACUAUUUGUUGUACACAUUUACUAUCAACCUUCCGGAGGCUUGUACCUUUCUUUCUAUCGUCAAUGUCAAGGGAGUGUUUUGAGAUGCAAAUUAAGGUAGGGAAAUAAGCUAAGAACACAAGGGACAAUAGAGGUUGUAUAUAAAAUUGUAAAUAUUUUUAAAAUUUGUAUCUUUUUUAAAAUUUUAUAUAAUUUUUAAAAUUUUCUAUUAUUUUUAAUAUUUUUUGCACUUUUCUAUAUUUUUAUAAUAAUUUUCUAUAUUUUAAAAUUUUCCAUAUUUUUAACAAUUUUUAUUUUUAAUUCAUAUAGUUUUAAAAUUAUUCAUUUUAAUAAUUUAUAUAAUUUGUAUAAUUUUUGAGACAUUUAUACUAUUUUUUUAUACUUUUUGCAUUUAUAUUUAUUUUUUAUAAUUUUUUUGUGAUUUUGAAUAUUUUAGUUUUUUAAUAAUUUCUUUUACGAUUUUCAGUAUUUUUUACCGAUUUUGAGAACAAAACAGCCCCAAAAGGGCAGCUGUUACCCCAAGGGGCUUAAUUAUUAUAAUUUUGAAGAUAAGGGGCUCAAUUGAGUGAAAAAAAAUAUAAGGGCUUAAUUGAUUUUUUUAGAAAAUUUCAGGGGCUUUUAGCUAUUUUUAUUAGUCAGGGUUUUUCAUUAUAAUACAUUUCAUUGCAACUGCUGCGUUUAAGUAUAAACAUAUUAAAGAAACAUGUGUAAUGAAUAAAAAAGAAGAAUUGGGUCAAAGCUACUCUUCUUUGCAAGCAAAAGACUAGUAGGUAGCAGAGUUGAGCAUUUAAGAGCUUAUGCAUUGUACAGAUUCCAUGUAUUUCAUUUUAUAUUUGAAUUUACAAUCAUUGAACAAAAGAUAAAAUAGAUACAACAAAAUGCCAACAUGAUCCUUGUGAUUAAUGUUAGCAACAGUUGAUUGAUCCUUUAUGAACUUAGACCUACCUUUAAUCAAAAAAAAUAUAGUGAGGUUAAUGUUUAUAGAUUUGUAAAGAAGAGAGUUGGAUGCAUCAUUUUGAUAGAUUAUAUAAUUAUAACCUAAUUGAUCAACUAUUUUCAAUGGUAAAUUAGAUGUAAAAUGUUGACUGUUAGAUUCAUCUCCAGCAACUAUCCCUACUCACAAGUCAACUGCACCCAAGUGUGAACAGCAGACGGGCAGGGCAUAACCACCAAAAUAGUUUGGUCUUUAUUUCUCAUGAAACUAAAUAUUUUUCCAUAAAACAUUUGAUUAAUUCAUAAGAUACCCUCAAAAACAUUGUUUCCCCCAUCUUCUUUGGACAGUUCCAGUGUUAUUUUGGUCACUUGCAAAGAAUGUUGUAGAGCUGACUGGUAGGCAUGGCUCAGUUAGCAUUAAUUUUCCACCUUAUAUACAAUACAAAUGCAAGAUUAAGAUCAGAUAUCACUGGCAACCCCGUUGAAAAAAUAUGGGUUUCCAAAGAAACAUAUUGGGUUUCCUUUUCUUGAUAUUGGCUUCACUAACAAGCCUCUCUUCUAGCCUUCCUAGUGAAUACUCCAUAGUGGAACAUGAGAUUGACGCAUUUCUUUCGGAGGAAAGGGUGUUGGAGAUCUUCCAACAGUGGAAAGAAAAGCAUCGGAAAGUGUACCGGCACGCCGAGGAGGCUGAGAAAAGGUUUGAAAAUUUCAAGGGGAAUUUGAAGUAUAUCCUAGAGAGGAAUGCAAAGAGAAAAGCAAACAAAUGGGAACAUCAUGUGGGAUUGAACAAGUUUGCUGAUAUGAGCAAUGAGGAGUUCAGAAAAGCUUACUUGUCAAAGGUGAAAAAGCCCAUCAACAAAGGGAUAACCCUGUCAAGGAACAUGAGGAGAAAGGUGCAGUCUUGUGAUGCACCCUCAUCCUUGGAUUGGAGGAACUAUGGAGUUGUGACUGCUGUCAAGGACCAAGGUUCUUGUGGUAAGAAAAUGCCCUACAUAUAGUGUAAGUUCCCCUUUGAGAAAAAACCUGAAUAACUGUGUCCUAUGUUUGCAGGAAGUUGUUGGGCAUUCUCAUCAACUGGAGCCAUGGAAGGAAUCAAUGCCUUAGUUACUGGAGACCUAAUUAGCCUUUCAGAACAAGAACUUGUAGAUUGUGAUACCAGCAACUAUGGGUGUGAAGGAGGAUACAUGGACUAUGCUUUCGAAUGGGUUAUAAACAAUGGCGGGAUCGAUAGCGAAAGCGACUACCCCUACACUGGUGUGGAUGGCACAUGUAACACCACCAAGGUCUGAUUCAUUUUUGUUUCAGUAGUUCAACCAGUUCUUCCUCUAAUUCUAAUGUAUUUGUCUUUAAUCAGGAGGAAACCAAGGUUGUAUCUAUUGAUGGCUAUCAAGAUGUAGAGCAAUCAGAUAGUGCUCUUUUAUGUGCCGUUGCUCAGCAACCUGUUAGUGUGGGAAUUGAUGGUUCCGCCAUUGAUUUUCAACUUUACACUGGUGUAAGUAUUUGUUUGGAACCUGGAAACUUUUUGUUUAAAACGAAAUUUUUGGGGUAAUGAAAUUCGUAUGGCAUGAUGCAUGAAUAGGGAAUUUAUGAUGGGAGCUGCUCGGAUGAUCCAGAUGACAUUGAUCAUGCUGUUUUAAUAGUUGGUUAUGGUUCAGAAGACAGUGAAGAGUAUUGGAUAGUGAAGAAUUCAUGGGGAACAAGUUGGGGGAUAGAUGGAUAUUUCUAUCUAAAAAGAGACACUGAUUUACCAUAUGGUGUUUGUGCUGUCAAUGCCAUGGCUUCUUAUCCAACUAAACAAUCCUCUUCACCAUCCCCUUAUCCAUCGCCAAGUGUUCCUCCACCGCCACCUCCUUCAACUCCACCACCACCACCACCUCCAUCUCCUUCACCAAGUGAUUGUGGAGACUUUUCCUAUUGUUCAAGUGAUGAGACAUGCUGUUGCCUUUUUGAAUUCUAUGAUUAUUGCCUAAUAUACGGCUGCUGUGAAUAUGAAAAUGCUGUUUGCUGUACUGGAACUGAAUACUGCUGCCCUAGUGAUUACCCCAUUUGUGAUGUCCAAGAAGGACUCUGC